UUUUUUUGAUUUUUUUAAUUUUUUUCAAAAUAAUCGCAUCAAGAUCUCCGACAACGGUGUCAAAAUUUGAUGCGUGUCGUAGCAUAUCAAAAUUAAUCCUACUUACUACUAUGUAGAUAGGAUGAGUCAAGAUCAUAUCCACAGGAAUUUUAGUUGAUUGUUUCGAAAACGUAAAAAAAAAGAAUAAUAGAUUGUAAGAAACUAAGAAUGAAAUAUG
This 217-nucleotide long non-coding RNA is filed under the name Elaeis guineensis (African oil palm). RNAcentral describes it as "long non-coding RNA (EGUI_LNC029908)". Lineage: Eukaryota; Viridiplantae; Streptophyta; Magnoliopsida; Arecales; Arecaceae. The record is from RNAcentral.